Molecule: ribosomal RNA, 450 nt
Filed under: uncultured bacterium
Lineage: Bacteria
Description: bacterial SSU rRNA
Rfam family: Bacterial small subunit ribosomal RNA
Source: RNAcentral
AGCGAACGCUGGCGGCAGGCUUAACACAUGCAAGUCGAGCGCCCGUAGCAAUACGGGAGCGGCAGACGGGUGAGUAACACGUGGGAACGUACCCUUCAGUUCGGAACAACCCAGGGAAACUUGGGCUAAUACCGGAUACGUCCGUAAGGAGAAAGAUUUAUCGCUGAAGGAUCGGCCCGCGUCUGAUUAGCUAGUUGGUGGGGUAAUGGCCCACCAAGGCGACGAUCAGUAGCUGGUCGAGAGGAUGAUCAGCCACACUGGGACUGAGACACGGCCCAGACUCCUACGGGAGGCAGCAGUGGGAAUAUUGGACAAUGGGCGAAAGCCUGAUCCAGCAAUGCCGCGUGAGUGAUGAAGGCCUUAGGGUUGUAAAGCUCUUUUACCCGGGAUGAUAAUGACAGUACCGGGAGAAUAAGCUCCGGCUAACUCCGUGCCAGCAGCCGCGGUAAC